RNAcentral lists this ribosomal RNA (200 nucleotides) under uncultured bacterium. RNAcentral describes it as "partial 16S ribosomal RNA". It matches the Rfam family "Bacterial small subunit ribosomal RNA", at positions 8 to 221 of the family's 1533-position model. The record is from RNAcentral.
AGAGUUUGAUCAUGGCUCAGGACGAACGCUGGCGGCGUGCCUAACACAUGCAAGUCGAGUGCGCGUCCGUAGCAAUACGGAUGGCGCACGGCGCACGGGUGCGUAACACGUGGGUACCUGCCCUUUGAUGGGGAAUAACCCCGCGAAAGCGGGGCUAAUACCGCAUAAGAUCCGCAAGGAUGAAAGCCGUAAGGCGUCGA